GUGCAGCAGUCGCGAAAACUCCACAAUGUGGGAAACCACGAUGGGGGAACUCCCAGUGCGCACACUUUGUGUGCGCUGUUCUCCUGCCUAAAAAGCAGGAGAAGUAAGGGCCGGGUAAGACGGGUGCCAGCCGCCGCGGUAAUACCCGCGGCCCGAGUGGCGCUCAUUAUUAUUGAGUCUAAAACGUCCGUAGCCGGUCGGGUAGAUUCCUGGGUAAAUCGAACCGCUCAACGGCUCGAAUUCCGGGUAGACCGCCAAACUUGGGACCGUGAGAGGUUGGAGGUACUUCUGGGGUAGGGGUAAAAACCUGUAAUCCUAGGAAGACCACCA
Molecule: ribosomal RNA, 330 nt
Filed under: uncultured Thermoplasmata archaeon
Lineage: Archaea; Methanobacteriati; Thermoplasmatota; Thermoplasmata
Description: partial 16S ribosomal RNA
Rfam family: Archaeal small subunit ribosomal RNA
Source: RNAcentral